This is a long non-coding RNA of Oncorhynchus keta (chum salmon), 276 nucleotides long. RefSeq lists it as uncharacterized. Lineage: Eukaryota; Metazoa; Chordata; Actinopteri; Salmoniformes; Salmonidae. The record is from RefSeq and is a predicted model, not a curated record. The transcript is spliced from 3 exons.
CAUACCCGGAAGCUCAUCCACAACAUUGAUAAGACAUUUCCUGUACACCAGGAAACGCAAACUUCAUACACAGCCAUCACCUUGAGACGUCUCAAGACACGGGAAGUGUAUUCAAGAUUAAAAAACGCUUCUAAAGAUUAUUUUCCUGCUGAGAGAAACAGUUCAAAUGAAGAUUCUGCAUUAUUCGUGUGACCGCAUCAUGGAGAAAAAAAAUCCUCCCACUGGCAGCAUUAAGCAAAAACCUACAUUACUAAAUGUCGAGUUUCUGUAAUUGUG